RNAcentral lists this ribosomal RNA (720 nucleotides) under Triticum aestivum (bread wheat). RNAcentral's name for it is "partial small subunit ribosomal RNA". The record is from RNAcentral. Lineage: Eukaryota; Viridiplantae; Streptophyta; Magnoliopsida; Poales; Poaceae.
AUGCCUGUGAGCUUCACAACCCUUAAAGAUUCAGUGUGGGAAUUUAUUGUAGAUAAAUACCUUAAGUGUUUCGGGUCCUGGAUUGGCAAUGCUGCAUCCAGCGGGGGCAGACUUACUUUGCUUACCUCGGUUUUAGCACAACUAUCUUUAUAUCAUAUGUCCAUGUGGCUUAUGAGUAAAACUUUCGUAGAAAGGCUGGACAAGCACCGUCGUAAAUUCUUUUGGCACAGGUGCAAUAAGAAGAAUAGAUAUUACCUGGUCAAAUAGAAGAUGGUGUGUAGAUCGAAGAGCAAAGGGGGUCUGGGUGUCAAAGACCUCAGGAAACAAAACAUCAGCCUAAUGGUGAAAUGGUGGUGGAAAUUAGAAACUCAAACUGGGGUUUGGCAAAACUUGGUGAGAGCCAGAUAUUUACAAAACAAGUCGGUAGCAAAUGUGCAACCUAGACAAUCUGACUCCCCAUGCUGGAAAUCUCUUCUAAAAGUCGGGGAGUUGUACAUGAUGGGGAGGAAAAUUAAGCUGGGAUGCGGCAACCUGAGCAAGGUUUGGAAAGACUCAAUUGAUGGGAUGCCCCCACUCAAUUCGAGGUUCCCUCGGCUGUUUGAAAUCUAUACAAAUCAGGACUGUACGGUCCAAAACUUUAACAAGGUAGAGGCUUCGACAUUUUUUAGAAGGCGUCUAUGCCCUGAUCUUAGAGAACAGUGGUAUAAGGUGCGGCAGUAA